UACAGGGGGGGCAAGCGUUGUUCGGAAUUACUGGGCGUAAAGGGUUCGUAGGUGGCCAACUAAGUCAGACGUGAAAUCCCUCAGCUUAACUGGGGAACUGCGUCUGAUACUGGAUGGCUUGAGUGAAGGAGAGGAAUGCGGAAUUCCAGGUGUAGCGGUGAAAUGCGUAGAUAUCUGGAGGAACACCGGUGGCGAAGGCGGCAUUCUGGACUACAACUGACACUGAGGAACGAAAGCCAGGGGAGCAAACGGG
RNAcentral lists this ribosomal RNA (253 nucleotides) under uncultured bacterium. Its description in RNAcentral is "partial 16S ribosomal RNA". It matches the Rfam family "Bacterial small subunit ribosomal RNA", at positions 524 to 776 of the family's 1533-position model. The record is from RNAcentral.